UACGUAGGUGGCAAGCGUUAUCCGGAAUUAUUGGGCGUAAAGCGCGCGUAGGCGGUUUCUUAAGUCUGAUGUGAAAGCCCACGGCUCAACCGUGGAGGGUCAUUGGAAACUGGGAAACUUGAGUGCAGAAGAGGAAGGUGGAAUUCCAUGUGUAGCGGUGAAAUGCGCAGAGAUAUGGAGGAACACCAGUGGCGAAGGCGACCUUCUGGUCUGUGACUGACGCUGAUGUGCGAAAGCGUGGGGAUCAAACAGG
RNAcentral lists this ribosomal RNA (253 nucleotides) under uncultured bacterium. RNAcentral's name for it is "partial 16S ribosomal RNA". It matches the Rfam family "Bacterial small subunit ribosomal RNA", at positions 524 to 776 of the family's 1533-position model. The record is from RNAcentral.